GCUUCAAUGGCGGAAAUUACGUUUUAGACUCAAAAUCUAACUAUGAGAGUGGAAAUCUCUCUUGAAGCU
This 69-nucleotide transfer RNA is filed under the name Eurycercus lamellatus. RNAcentral describes it as "tRNA-Leu". It matches the Rfam family "tRNA". Rfam says of the family: Transfer RNA (tRNA) molecules are approximately 80 nucleotides in length. Their secondary structure includes four short double-helical elements and three loops (D, anti-codon, and T loops). Further hydrogen bonds mediate the characteristic L-shaped molecular structure. tRNAs have two regions of fundamental functional importance: the anti-codon, which is responsible for specific mRNA codon recognition, and the 3' end, to which the tRNAs corresponding amino acid is attached (by aminoacyl-tRNA synthetases). tRNAs cope with the degeneracy of the genetic code in two manners: having more than one tRNA (with a specific anti-codon) for a particular amino acid; and 'wobble' base-pairing, i.e. permitting non-standard base-pairing at the 3rd anti-codon position. Lineage: Eukaryota; Metazoa; Arthropoda; Branchiopoda; Diplostraca; Eurycercidae. The record is from RNAcentral.